RNAcentral lists this ribosomal RNA (427 nucleotides) under uncultured bacterium. RNAcentral's name for it is "bacterial SSU rRNA". It matches the Rfam family "Bacterial small subunit ribosomal RNA", at positions 355 to 774 of the family's 1533-position model. RNAcentral also lists the same sequence under 1 other name. The record is from RNAcentral.
UAGGGAAUCUUCCACAAUGGACGAAAGUCUGAUGGAGCAACGCCGCGUGAGUGAUGAAGGUUUUCGGAUCGUAAAACUCUGUUGUAAGGGAAGAACACGUACGAGAGGUAAUGCUCGUACCUUGACGGUACCUUACGAGAAAGCCACGGCUAACUACGUGCCAGCAGCCGCGGUAAUACGUAGGUGGCAAGCGUUGUCCGGAAUUAUUGGGCGUAAAGCGCGCGCAGGCGGCCUUUUAAGUCUGAUGUGAAAGCCCCCGGCUCAACCGGGGAGGGCCAUUGGAAACUGGAAGGCUUGAGUACAGAAGAGAAGAGUGGAAUUCCACGUGUAGCGGUGAAAUGCGUAGAGAUGUGGAGGAACACCAGUGGCGAAGGCGACUCUUUGGUCUGUAACUGACGCUGAGGCGCGAAAGCGUGGGGAGCAAACA